GACCAGCUGGCUGGUUCAUGAGGUGACUUCUGCCCAGUGCUCUGAUUGUCAUUACGAAGAGAUUCAGUAAAGCGCGGGUAAACGGCGGGAGUAACUAUGACUCUCUUAAGGUAGCCAAAUGCCUCGUCAACCAAUUAUUGACGCGCAUGAAUGGAUCAACGAGAUUCCUGCUGUCCCUAGGUGCUGUCUGGUGAACCAACCGCCAAGGGAACGGGCUUGGAUGUGUCAGCGGGGAAAGAAGACCCUGUUGAGUUUGACUCUAGUCUGGCAUGGCACAACGACAUGUUGGGUGUAGCACAGGUGGGAGGCCAGUGCCAAUGUUGUCCUGUUGAACAGUCCUGGAUGGAACGUGGGAGAGAGCCUUGUUGGAAAAACCAGUGGAGGAGAAGUGCAGGCCUUUGUGGGGUGUUGUCAGCUUGUUGUGAACCCUGUGAUGGGACCCACAGGGGGAGUGUCAGAGAGAAGCCUGGUGCAAACCAGCAGUGAAAUACCACUACCUUCACCGUCAUUUUGCUCAUUGAGUGACCUGGGAACUUCUGGCCAAUCUAACGUGCCACCUCUGCAAUCCAUUGUGGGGAUGAGCAUUGGCCAACUUAAGAGAGAGAGAAUCAUGUGGCAAGAGGUGGCCCUGAGCCAACCAACCCUGGACUUUAGAGCCGAUCAGAAGCCUUGAGACAUCAGCCAGAUGGGGAGUUUGGCUGGGGCGGCACGCCUGUUACAUGACAACGCAAGCGUCCUGAAGCAAUGCUCAGAUGGAACAGAAAUCUCACGCAGAGGAGCAGGCCAAAGGUCCUGCUGAUGCCGUGACUUCCAGUGCAAGUCCAAAACGUGCAAGUGUGGCCUACCGAUCCUUUGGUCAAGCUAUGAGUUCUGGAUAUUGAAGCCAGAGGUGUCAGAAAAAUUACCACAGGGAUAACUGGCUUGUGGCGGCCAAGCGUUCAAAGCGACGUUGCUUUUUGAUCCUUCGAUGUCGGCUCUUCCUAGCUUCCCACCCGCAGCCGAGUGGAAGAGUUGGAUUGUUCACCCACCAACAGGGAACGUGAGCUGGGUUUA
This 1053-nucleotide ribosomal RNA is filed under the name Monomorphina pseudopyrum. Its description in RNAcentral is "partial 26S large subunit ribosomal RNA". It matches the Rfam family "Eukaryotic large subunit ribosomal RNA", at positions 2167 to 2965 of the family's 3401-position model. Lineage: Eukaryota; Euglenozoa; Euglenophyceae; Euglenales; Euglenaceae. The record is from RNAcentral.